GGAUCAGGUGAUGAUUCUUGGAUUGAACAUCUCACGACGGUCGUCUGAGAACAAUCUGAUGCAUAAAAGAUCCAUUUCUUCUGAUGAUU
Molecule: non-coding RNA, 89 nt
Organism: Punica granatum (pomegranate)
Lineage: Eukaryota; Viridiplantae; Streptophyta; Magnoliopsida; Myrtales; Lythraceae
Source: Rfam